CGAAAUGCGAUAAGUAAUGUGAAUUGCAGAAUUCAGUGAAUCAUCGAAUCUUUGAACGCACCAUGCGCUCCUUGGUAUUCCUUGGAGCAUGCCUGUUUGAGUAUCAUGAAAUCUUCAAAGUAAAUCUUUUGUUAACUCAAUUGGUUUCUACUUUGGUAUUGGAGGUCUUUGCAGCUUCACACCUGCUCCUCUUUGUUCAUUAGCUGGAUCUCAGUGUUAUGCUUGGUUCCACUCGGCGUGAUAAGUUAUCUAUCGCUGAGGACACUGUAAAAGGUGGCCAAGGUAAAUGCAGAUGAACCGCUUCUAAUAGUCCAUUGACUUGGACAAUACUUUUAUGAUCUGAUCUCAAAUCAGGUAGGACUACCCGCUGAACUUAAGC
RNAcentral lists this unclassified non-coding RNA (379 nucleotides) under plant metagenome. RNAcentral's name for it is "partial contains 5.8S ribosomal RNA, internal transcribed spacer 2, and large subunit ribosomal RNA". The stretch from base 1 to 106 matches the Rfam family "5.8S ribosomal RNA", at positions 49 to 154 of the family's 154-position model. The record is from RNAcentral.